CCUACGGGUGGCAGCAGUGGGGAAUAUUGCACAAUGGGCGAAAGCCUGAUGCAGCGACGCCGCGUGAGUGAAGAAGUAUUUCGGUAUGUAAAGCUCUAUCAGCAGGGAAGAAAAUGACGGUACCUGACUAAGAAUCCCCGGCUAACUACGUGCCAGCAGCCGCGGUAAUACGUAGGGGGCAAGAGUUAUCCGGAUUUACUGGGCGUAAAGGGGGCGUAGGCGGGGAAGCAAGUCUGAAGUGAAAACCCAGGGCUCAACCCUGGGACUGCUUUUGAAACUGUUUGGCUAGAGUGUCGGAGAGGUAAGUGGAAUGCAUAGUGUAGCGGUGAAAUGCGUAGAUAUUAGGCGGAACACCAGUGGCGAAGGCGGCUUACUGAACGAUAACUGACGUUGAGGCUCGAAAGCGUGGGGAGCAAACAGGAUUAGAUACCCGGGUAGUC
This 440-nucleotide ribosomal RNA is filed under the name uncultured bacterium. Its description in RNAcentral is "partial 16S ribosomal RNA". It matches the Rfam family "Bacterial small subunit ribosomal RNA", at positions 338 to 795 of the family's 1533-position model. The record is from RNAcentral.